This 510-nucleotide ribosomal RNA is filed under the name uncultured bacterium. RNAcentral describes it as "partial 16S ribosomal RNA". It matches the Rfam family "Bacterial small subunit ribosomal RNA", at positions 28 to 507 of the family's 1533-position model. The record is from RNAcentral.
GACGAACGCUGGCGGCGUGCUUAACACAUGCAAGUCGAACGAAGAGCGAUGGAAGCUUGCUUCUAUCAAUCUUAGUGGCGAACGGGUGAGUAACGCGUAAUCAACCUGCCCUUCAGAGGGGGACAACAGUUGGAAACGACUGCUAAUACCGCAUACGAUCUAAUCUCGGCAUCGAGGAUAGAUGAAAGGUGGCCUCUACAUGUAAGCUAUCACUGAAGGAGGGGAUUGCGUCUGAUUAGCUAGUUGGAGGGGUAACGGCCCACCAAGGCGAUGAUCAGUAGCCGGUCUGAGAGGAUGAACGGCCACAUUGGGACUGAGACACGGCCCAGACUCCUACGGGAGGCAACAGUGGGGAAUCUUCCGCAAUGGACGAAAGUCUGACGGAGCAACGCCGCGUGAGCGAUGACGGCCUUCGGGUUGUAAAGCUCUGUUAAUCGGGACGAAAGGCCUUCUUGCGAAUAGUGAGAAGGAUUGACGGUACCGGAAUAGAAAGCCACGGCUAACUACGUG